Long non-coding RNA from Syngnathus acus (greater pipefish), 1163 nucleotides. RefSeq lists it as uncharacterized. NCBI's taxonomy places the organism in Eukaryota, Metazoa, Chordata, Actinopteri, Syngnathiformes, Syngnathidae. The record is from RefSeq and is a predicted model, not a curated record. The transcript is spliced from 3 exons.
AGGUCCAGACCGUUCAUAAACAGGGCGCAGUUUCGGGUCAGAUGUGACGUCAGCCCAGGUUGCGUAAAGUCGAUUGGAUCAGAGAAGCAUUUCAUCAUUGAAACCAAGUUAGGAGGGUGACAAAAGUCUGCUGGGGCAUGGCGCCGCACUUGGAAAUGAACAACUUCUCAAUUACAGUAUAAGACACUGAAAAGAGGGUGUGCUAUGUUACAUAAUAUUCUGCAUCAGUGGUGGACAAAGCGAUGAGUCACACGCGUGGUACUUCAAUCUGGAUCAGAUCUGUUUUCCUAAAUUGUUCUCAAACUUUUUACACAAGUAUCACCAUAAUGCUCAGCAAAAUACAGUCCCAAAAUACGAAGGCUGAGGUUUUAGUCCUAAAAAGUGCAUUUACUCUUUAAGUUAAAGAUACUGUAAAAAAAUUAAAUCCCUAAAAAAUACUGUAAUGUACAUAAAAACUUAACUCUUUUUAAACUUAAUCUGCAACUGAGCUUUUAAAAUGUAAAGUCAAAUAUCCAUCCAGCCAUCUAAAUCUACCCGUCCGUCCAUCCAUCCAUCCAUCCAUCCAUCCAUCCAUCCAUCCAUCCAUCCAUCCAUCCAUAGCAUGUAUAAUACUGUGUUGAAUAUAAGGAUAAUGUAAUCUAAUAAUAACUAAACCUCUUCUUUGGUCCUCCUGGAAAUGACUCUUAACCAGUCUCCAAUCAUGCUGAGGAUGGCAGCAAAGUAGGCAAGUCCGACCAGAAUCCAGAACCACACGACCGGUUUGUAGUAGUCCAAGUACUCGAUUUCCGACCCUCCUGUAAGCAGAGGUAGAAGUAUUCACAUAAUCACACGUGAGGCAAGUAACUUUUUUUUUUUCUUAACAGUUUUACCUGCAACAAAGUCCCCGAACCCGAUGGUGGUCAAUGUAAUGACCACAAAGUAGAGCGACUCCAGCGCUGACCAGCCCUCAAUGUGUUGAAAGAUGACUGCCGGGAGCGCCACAAACAGUAAACAGCCAAAGAGCACAAACAGCAACGUAGAUAUGACUCGGAUCUUCGUCUGACUGAUGUUCCAGUGCUGCACGAAACACACAUGAGAUGGUGCCCAACUGGUCGCCCACUCCGGCCAGGAGGAAGCCGAAGAGUGGGAUGCCCAGCAGAGCGUAGACGAUACAGAAGAUUCUC